Molecule: non-coding RNA, 20 nt
Filed under: Rattus norvegicus (Norway rat)
Lineage: Eukaryota; Metazoa; Chordata; Mammalia; Rodentia; Muridae
Source: RNAcentral
CAAGUCAAAGUUCUUACAAG